Molecule: non-coding RNA, 156 nt
Organism: Lepisosteus oculatus (spotted gar)
Lineage: Eukaryota; Metazoa; Chordata; Actinopteri; Semionotiformes; Lepisosteidae
Source: RefSeq, a predicted model, not a curated record
ACGACCCACACAGAAAGGGUGCUCCUGGUGAUCCUGGGAGACAGCGAGGUGCCACUGAGGCUUGCAGAUGAUGGCAAAGUCCUGCUGGUUCACGUGUGCAGUAAAGAACCAGAAGACAGAAAAUCCACAUACCAUGUCCCGGUGUGUCUGAAGAAG